RNAcentral lists this long non-coding RNA (81 nucleotides) under Astyanax mexicanus (Mexican tetra). RNAcentral describes it as "lncRNA (ENSAMXG00005008687.1)". The record is from RNAcentral. Lineage: Eukaryota; Metazoa; Chordata; Actinopteri; Characiformes; Acestrorhamphidae.
CAUCACUCAAGUUUGUGCUCUCCCAGAAGUGAACAACUUUGUGAGGUUUAAAAUAGACAUGAACAAACAGCAGUGUACUUU